This is a long non-coding RNA of Anas platyrhynchos (mallard), 636 nucleotides long. RefSeq lists it as uncharacterized. The record is from RefSeq and is a predicted model, not a curated record. Lineage: Eukaryota; Metazoa; Chordata; Aves; Anseriformes; Anatidae.
CCCCAGCUGGAGCUGGGUACACACUAAUUGCUCCCUCACAUAAGGGCAACCCCACCCCCUCACUUCCCCAGCCUGUCUCUCCUAAAGAGGACGUAGCCCUCCAUGAUUGGGUUCCAGUCAUGUGAGCUGUCCCACCACAUCUCAGUGAUUGCAACAAGAUCGUGGCCCCGUGUCCGAACGCAGACCUUGAGCUCAUCCUGUUUAUUUCCCACGCUCCGUGCACAGGCACUUUAGGGAAGCAGCAGGUCUGCCAGUAGCUGACAGAGUAGAAAGGUGUGCUUCUCUCUCUUUUUUGUAUAGAGUUAGAGGCAAGCCUGAUAUCCAGCCAAGAUGGACAAAGGAGAAGGACAAGGACAAAGCCUGGGAGGAAGACUAUGAGCCUUCAGCACGAGAGACCCCCAGAGGGACCACUGGGGACUGAUAUGCAUGUGCCAGUGGGAGGGUUCGGAAUCCGGGAACUAAUUAUAAUAACACUGCCUUUUCUAGAAGUAGUAAUGAACAUGUAUUAGCCUAGGAGCAGAAAAAGCUGCCGCCUGAUGUAACGUGUGUGCGUGUUGGAGGAGCCCAGACUCCUCGCGCACCCAGCGCUCUUUACUUGCCUUCUAUUAACCCCAUAAAUAAAUCUCAUAAAGCUAA